RNAcentral lists this ribosomal RNA (185 nucleotides) under Bacteroidetes bacterium enrichment culture clone 4.17b Bac band 6. Its description in RNAcentral is "partial 16S ribosomal RNA". It matches the Rfam family "Bacterial small subunit ribosomal RNA", at positions 341 to 523 of the family's 1533-position model. The record is from RNAcentral. Lineage: Bacteria; Pseudomonadati; Bacteroidota.
ACGGGAGGCAGCAGUGAGGAAUAUUGGUCAAUGGGCGAGAGCCUGAACCAGCCAUGUCGCGUGCAGGAUGACGGCCCUACGGGUUGUAAACUGCUUUUAUAUGGGAAGAAAAAAGUCUACGUGUAGACUAUUGCCGGUACCAUAUGAAUAAGCAUCGGCUAACUCCGUGCCAGCAGCCGCGGUAA